RNAcentral lists this ribosomal RNA (458 nucleotides) under uncultured bacterium. Its description in RNAcentral is "partial 16S ribosomal RNA". It matches the Rfam family "Bacterial small subunit ribosomal RNA", at positions 29 to 507 of the family's 1533-position model. The record is from RNAcentral.
AACGAACGCUGGCGGCAUGCCUAACACAUGCAAGUCGAACGAGACCUCCGGGACUAGUGGCGCACGGGUGCGGAACGCGUGGGAAGCUGCCUUUAGGUACGGGAUAACUCAGAUAAAUUUGAGCUAAUACCGGAUGAUGUCUUCGGACCAAAGAUUUAUCGCCUUUAGAUGGGCCAGGGUUGGUUUAGCUUGUUGGGGGUGUAAAGGCCUAACAAGGCGGCGAUCCGUAGCUGGUCUGAGGGGAUGAUCAGCCACACUGGGACUGAGGCAGGGCCCAGACUCCGACACUAGGCCACAGUCGAGAAUCCUACGCGAGGGAGGAGAGGCGAAUAUAGCCAUACCGGGUAAGUCAUGAAGGCGCUAUGGCGGGUAAGUGAUUAUGUCGGUAGGGAAGUGCAGCUCUUUUACACGCGAUGAUAAUGACAGUACCGGGAGAAUAAGCACCGGCUAACUCCGUG